UUUGCAGAAGUGUUCAGGGCUGCUUUGUCAGUGGUUUGGCUGAGGAUACAGGUUACAAAUCCUGGGUCUUUCUGGUAGGUAUAACUGGCUGGGAGCGACGUCGGAAAACAGAGAUGUGUUGAUGAUGGGUGGCUGUUGGAUGCCUGUUAACAAGUAACAGCCUGUUGUGCCUGUAACUACCUGGUGGCUUUGGGCACGUGCUUCAGCAGUCCAUUUUCACUGGGCUGAUUUGACAGUGGUGGCAGUGAUAGGCAGAUCUUUCUGUAAGAGCCUGGUGUGAUGAGUGCAGCUGGGAUGAGAGGCUUUUUGUCCAGCUGUUUGGUGAGGUUGUGUGGGGGAAAGUGUCCCUGUGACUGUAUUUUUAGGUACUGCAGGUGUUUCCUGUACCUGUCUUUGUUGGUUUGCCCUGCUGCUUCUGCUAAUAACCAUUUUCUUCAGUACCAUUCUGAUUUGUCAACUUGUGUUAUUACUCAAGUGGAGCAGGCCUGUUAUUAUUUCUGCUGGUGCCAGCUUGUUUUAGCAUUACCUUGGUAAUUCCCAGCCCUUCCCGGUGAAGUCUCUGUUUCUCCCUGGGGUUGUGUGGCACUGCCAGCCGUAGCUCUGCCGAUGGAGCCUCCGGGGUUUGGGAAGGCACUUUGUGUGUCAUCCUAACAAGUUGUUCACGACUUCAGGCACGGGGCUUCUGAUUCGGCUGCUGAGAGGACUUGGAUAAAGAAGAAAGGACUGUGUUUUUUCUGACGGCUGCAAAUGAAAAAGCUUUUCGCUCGGGAGUCGUGGAUCAUAUUUAUGGAAAUGUGGAGAGCGGUCGCAAUAUUUAUAGCAGUUACAGGAGCGAUUGAAUCUAUCUUUUAUUGAUACAUAUUUACAUGCCCACAGAAAUCCUAUUGCUCUGUAGCUGAGAGAAUUUUAUUUGGAUUUAGUAUUUUGAAGUAAUUUUUUAGUGCUUCUCUAUUAUCCAAGGAGUGCAAGAUUCGAUAUUUCAAGUAGAGCUGUCACCGAGCAGCCGGAGGUUUUUAAAAGAUUUUUGUUUUACAUAAAGAUAAAUGUUGAAGACACAUUUUUCAGAGACACCAUCUGUUCCGUGUUGACCUUAAUUUUCCGGAUGAGUGCUUUUCCUCAAACGUUUUAAGUCUUGUCUACAUUUCAUUUGCUUGGGAGUGUUUAGGAUAUUUGUUGAACAGGAAAUCAGAUAUUCAGAAUGCAAACACACCAUUACGUUGCAAAUUAUUGCCUUUGUAUAAUUUAGCAAACUGCUGGGUAAAUAGUUCUGCAGACUGGCAGGGGCAACGCUGCCUCUGACAUCUGGCAGAUCGGCUUUUGGUGGGGCUGCAUCUCACAGAAUCACAGAACCGUUUGAGUUGCCAAGUCCUAAAGGCCAUUUGGUCCAACUCCCUUGCAGUGAACGGGGACACCCACAGCUAGAUAGGGGUGCUCAGAGCCACAUCCAGCCUGACCUUGAAUAUCUCCAGCUAUGGGGUAUCCACCGUCUCCCUGGGCAAUCUGUUCCAGUGUCUCACCACUCAUAUUGUAAAAAACUUCCUUAUAUCCAACCUAAAUUUCUCCUCUUUGAGUUUUAAACUCGUUGUCCUAUGGCAACAGACCGUUCUGAAGAGUUUCUUGUGAGAGCCAGCGCGGCUGGCUUAUAGAUGCCGAGCAAGAAAUAUGGAGGUCCCAUUGUGACAACGGUGCGUAAAUGGCUCUGGCCUGCUCUGUAGGUGCUUUGUAGGGACAGGGAUAGGAUAAGGGCUUGUGUCUUUGUGGCCCUGGAGCAGUUUGCUCUUCAGACAGAAUAAUGAUUAGUUUUGCAAGGUAAAAAUAAAUUUGUUUCUGCACAUUUGCUUUUUCAUGAUGAAAACCGACUUGAUGUCGGUAGCAUCGUCAUAAAAUGAUGGGUUAAAACCAUUUGAUUGUGUGCUCAUUACAUUUCUGUAGAUAGUUCUGCAGCAAGUGGUCUGUUUCACUUUGUACAAAUAAUUAUUUUGAGACAAAACAUCCAACUUAUAUGUGAUUUAAAGGAGGUAUUCUUUAAACUCUGCUUUUGCUUGCAUAUGGUCAUAGCUACACAGCAGCAGUUAAGUGUAUGUAGGGUGACAAGAGGUAUUUUGGUCUACUGUGUUGCAAGUUAACUAUGAAAUCAUUGUAGAGCUAUUUGGAAGAGUGCAACCGUGUUUCUUAAGUUGGUAUGAGAGAGUUGAAAGCAAAAUGCUUAUCCGUGUGACUAUCUGAACUGCCUUGAGGUGGCACUAGAUAGAAUGUUUGUUGUAAACGUCUGGGGCUUGGGAACGCUGCUGCUUCCUGCUGGCCCAUAGGAGAGGUCAGCACAAGCAGAGUGGCCGGAGGAGAAGGAAUGUGGGUUUUGAGAAUUUUUUUUCAAAUUCACUUUUCACAGGAAUGAAUUCAAGUCACUGUUUUGAAUCCGUGGUUCCCGUAAGGCGUGCUCUACUUGAAGGAAAUUGCAACGUAUGCACUUGUUGAAAAACAGAACAGCAUUUUGCCUCGUUAGAGGUUGCUGCUUAUCCCAGAUAAUCUCUGGAUUGUAACUAAUUAAUGUAGCUACACCUGAAUUUGGAGUUAGCUACAGGAGAGAAGGAGCUUAUUUGUAAUGAGGUUUUUUGUCUGAUGGAAAUGAACAGAUUCCCCAAAUGCUGUCCUUUCAUCCAGAAUUUCCUCACCAAGAACUGGAUAGUGUAGGGAUACAGACCGGUUCUGUUGUGCCAUAAGCUCUUUGCUUCCUCGCCAGGGCAUGUUAGCACUUGGCAUCCUUUAACCCAAGUCUGAAGGAAAAAGAUGUCCCUUUGGCUGGUUUCAGUGAUAGCAAAGAGCACGGUGUUACCAUUUGAAGCCAAAUGUAGUCCUAAACAUCAUUUAUUGGCUUGUUUUCACACUUGAUUAUGAAAAUAGCACUAAUUGUUGUCUGGUUAUUCUAGACUAUAUACAUUUUUUUUCCCCUCCGAGGUAAAAUGAAGUUUUUCUGAUUAACAGCAACAGUAAAAUGUGACUGAUUUAUUUGAGCGAGCUGCUUUUUGCCAGGCACACUGCAAUAACCAAAGUACUGUUCAUUAUGACAUUGUACUGAGUCACUUGUUGAUGCUAUUUGAGGGAGAGAAUUUGGUUAAGAAACUGGAACAGGAUGUUCAUUUUAUUUCAGUCUUUGUAAUUGUGAGUCAUCUGAUAGCUGAUGAAAUACGAAAACUCACAUUUUAGACAGGGCUUCUCUUAACAUAAUUUUGGGAUGCUGUUAUUUGGUAGAGGGUAGAAAAAUACACAAAGCUGAUUUUGUGCAAAGAGGUUAUUAUAGUUGUCACUCUCUGCCGAAGCACUCAUAAACUUAGUACAUCUGCAGCAUUUUGCCAUGUCUUUAGUUAGUUUGUUGGUGGGUUGCAACAAGAGUUGAUAUGUACAUAGCUCACAACUGUGCAGGUAUUUGGGUUUUGAGAACGCCAUUUCCACUGUGUGCUUUCUAGCUGGUUUAGGGAUACGGCUUGUGGGCUGCUCCCACUGGUGGGCAGUGUGGGGAAUCCCAUUACGUGCAUGUGAAGCAAAGGGAAACGGCUGAAUUCGUGUUUUAACUGCCGUUUGGAUAUAAUCUUAUAUGAAUAAGAUUAUCCUGCCUGUGAAUUCGCAGGACUGUUAUUAUCCAGGUGACUAUCGGAUUAGUAUGAACCAUCACAUUUGUAAUGCUGUCUCCUGUGGAACUAAUUGAUGCUGAUAGGAUCCUGAAGCUGAGCUUGCUUCUUUGUUGGAGCACAGAGACCUUCCAAAAUAAUUUGUGUGCAUCCAUUCAGCUUAACUUCAGGGUGGCGGGCAGCAAAUCUAUACCAGCCCAGCUUACUUAGGGUCAGAAAAUAAAGUAUAUUGGCUCUGUUUAAAGCCGUGAGAAGAAUUCACGUAGGAAGAACGUAAUUAUUGGGUCUGGAGUCUGACUAGGAUGCGCUUUGCUACUUCAAUAUGUCUGUGGACGAUAUGAGAGUUCCUACCGAAGGCUCCUUCCCCUCUUAAUAGAAAAGCAGGAUGAAUAUGGGGAGUGGAGGUAAAAGAGCACAUUUAAAUCAUCUGCAGCCGAGCGGUGAAAUUCAUUCAUCCCUUUGGCGCUGUUGCUAAUUUAUAUUUAAAGCAAUGUGAAUUUCAUGAGCAUUUUUUAAAAAAAAUCAUAUUUUAAAUUCAAUUUGCUGUCAACUCAUUUGAUGUUUUAUGUCAAGUCAUUUCCCAUAAACAGGUUACUGAAUAUCAAAAGACUUCUCAUGCAUAAUUUUUUGAAGGAAAUAAUAUUAUAAUAGAGAUGUGAGCCCAACCCUCCUGAGUCAGGAACAGUGCUGGGAUGGCACCGUUCCUUGGUGUUUUUCUUACUGCGCUCAGGGAGUGUCCUGGGCGAGUGGCAUUCAAGAGGCGUGCAGCAAUAAUAAGUGUUUUCUAGCCUGCAGUAGAUUGUUCUUCAAUGGACUAGUGAUAGGUAAUCUAUGAAGAAAGACAUCAGCAGGUUCUUUGCCAGAUAUCAGAAAGAGAGCUGGAAGAAAAUGGAUUAAAAUACCUCAAAUGGGAGAGAGCUUUCAAGGUGUACAGCUCACGCGGAGCUUAAUGGAGUGAGUACUAUUGAGAGCGAUGUUGAAAAACUAAGGCACGUUUGUUAAAAACUGUUGAAGAAAUAACUGCUGUCUUUCCUUGGCACGGGAUUCUUGCUUGUGCCCAGAGAUUGCUGUUGUUUGGAAGGUGCAGCGCUAUGUGAAACAGCAUCAGAGCUGUCGUGGAGCUGAAUCUUUUGCAAAAAGAAAGAAAUUGGUCUCUGGGUGACCCCAACUUUUUUUCCAGGUGCUCAGUACAGUGCCCUGGGCGUGAGCACGUAGCAUGCAGGUAAGCAGCUCGGGCUCUUGCACUAAUUUGAUGGAUUCCUAGUGCAGAGCAUCAGGCCAGGAAGGUUAUUGCAAUAGCUUUUUAUUUAUUUAUCCAUUAUUUGAACUGGCUGCGUUGUAGAAGUGAGCUUCUCCCUCUCUUUGAAAUCUGUUAGAGGAAAAGAAUACCAAGCCCCCUGGUUUUCCAAAACCUAUUUUUCCCCCCUAGCUUCUGAUUGCCCUGGAAGGAGUAGGUUUUCUUUUUGUUAUUGUUUUUUUUGGUUAUUUCAACUAGAGAAGACAUCUCCACCCUACAGCUAAGCGACAAAAUGCUCUCAAAAUGGGGUUUCUGAGCUUGAGGCGAGUCACCUGAAGUCCCUAAACUGGUUUUCAGCAGCCCUGACCCCAGUUAUCUUCCUUCAGCUGAGCACAGUAUUGUCUAACCUGGAGUGGCCGGAGUUUGCUCCCAUUUUUGGUGUCUUUGCAGCUUAUUAAGGGCCUCGGGCUGGCAGGGAGGUUUCUGAAAGGAGUUUUGUGGAAGGCUCAGGGAUGGAUGAGGUUGGCCUUGUUUUCAGGUGCUGGAACUUGGCAGUGUGAAGGACUGCAAUGGCCCACACUUGCGGCUCACCUCGGGUCUCCAAGGUUGUGCCACGCACAGGGUGCAGCCUUCCUGUCCCAUUGCUCUGGCCCAGGGGGAGGCCUGGGGCUAAAGGACAGGUUGGGCAUUUGGUGCUCAUUUCUCCUCCUCCUCGUUCCCUGGGCUGUUUUUGUUUUUAAGAAAAUCAAAGGCAUCCCUGAGCAUCUUAGGUGUCUGGGUCUUGCCUGAGCGUGGCCUGGGGGUGGCUCCUGGUUCUGUGUGGGGCAUCCCUUGCACCACAGGGAGACACGAUAUUUCAGUGCACCAAUAGGUGGUGUGAGAUUGCUGCUGUCUGUGGGAAUCUAGAGUCUUUUUUUUAUUUAUUUAUUUUUAUUUUUAUUUUUUUUAUUGUUGUUGGUAGUGGGAUCAGAGGAAUGAAAGCUCGGUGCCAGCUGUAAGUAACAGCUGAAUCAGAAUUUUAGUAGGUAGGGCUGCCCCAGCCCUUAGUGACGCAGCCAGAGUUUGUCAUUUGGAGCUCGGCAAAUAAAAAACAACCAAAAAAACACAACAGUAUCUAAAAUGACACUGGGAGGUCCAUUAAAUCCUUGCAGACUAAAUCUGCAAAUGCAGCCUGCUGAUCAGACCAUGGGGCAUCUUAAAGGGCUUGCAGGAAGGUUGUGCUGCAGCUCUGGGAAAUCUGAACAGCCUGUUGAGAACUGUUCGUUUUGGAAGAGAUGUGAAAUAGUACUAAGCUUCAAAGGGUGGUGAGGCACUGGAACAGGCUUCCCAGACAGGUGGGGGUGCCUCAUUCCUGGAGAUAUUUAAGGUGAGGCUGGGUGGGGGCUCUGAGCACCCUGACUGAGCAUAGGUGUCCCUGUUCAUUGCGGAGGGGUUGGAAUAGAUGGUCUUUCAAAUUCCCUUUCAACUCAAAUGAUCCUGUGAAAUUUAUUCUAUGUUUAUACUUCGUGCAGUUCUUUCUUCAAAACAAACCGUUGUGGAUUGCUGUGUGCAGGUCUGCCCCGCAGAACACACCUCUCUGCCCUCCAGUGUUUAAUGAAGGGAGGCUGUGAAGCCAAGCAGAGAGAAACGUAAGCAGUGCAGCCUGCGUGCAGGCAUAUUUUCUAAAAGGGUUUGUGUCCGUGUGCUGCAGCUGGCAGUUGUCUUGCUCACAGCUGUUCAGGGAAUGACAAUUUCUCUUUGUUGCAGCUUUCAAGUUUUUUAAGCGUGUCAGUUUCAUAUAGAAACAAUGACAAAAAGCAUCUUCUGGGCCGUUUUCAUCAGAACGGAAACAUCUGGUUGGGGAUAACGGGGUUCUGACAGCUUUUCAGCAGCGUGGUUGCUGAUUUACCCAAGCCCCAACAGGUAGCUCAGCAGAGGAGCGGAGCUCACCGGUGUCUCCAGGCUCCGUGCCUGCCAGCACGCUGCUCUCAUCGGUCAGGGACCGGGGCACGAUGGCACUCAGCAUGAGAUGCAGGACGACAGCGCUGCGCUGAGGCCUCUUCUGCUAAUCCUUGCUUAAUGCGGUGCUGCUGCCGUUGUUAGUGGCUGUUGCUGGACAGGAUUAAGGAAGAAAAAACUGUGAGAAGCAGGAUUGGUUACGCGUUAUCUCCCUGUAUCUUCCAAUCUCUCGUGUGGUAAGGCCUGAUGUUUUCAAGUCUCCCUUUCGAAAUGGCAGAUAGAAACAUAUUGCUGCUGUCUGGAACCUUUAAUCUUCCAAUGGAAAUAAGCUUUCCUUGCAGAAGCAGGCUGCUUUUUCAGGUGUUCUCAGAAAUGCUGAUGUUGUGCCUUGGUUGAUCUGGCUAAUUAAAAAAUGAGAUCUUGUCGAUCCAAACUAUUACUUUAAUGGCAAUGGAAAAAAUGCAAAGUGCAAGAAAACCAGUGUUAGAGAGAAAUGUGCCUCACUUCGUCCGUCUAAUUUAUACAGGAAGAAUUUAGACUUUUAUUGCGAGUCUUGAUAUCCGCAGACCCUCCAGUUAGGAACUGUUACUGUUUUAGUUACUGUUGGCUCCACAACAUUUUAUUCAAAGCCUGUCAUUACUUGCCCGUGUUCAGGGAGGUCGCUGUGAGCUCCGCGCUCCAGCUUGCUAAAGCUGCCGCGCUGGGCUCUGCUGUGUUUUGUACCUCUCUUCUCUGGAUCUUAUCGAAAAAUUCUCAGAAAGAGUGGUGAGGUUUGGCACAGGCUGCCCAGGGAGGUGGUGGAGUCACCAUCCCUGGAGGUGUGUGAGAAAUGUGUGGAUGUAGCACCGAGGGAUGUGGUUAGUGGGUGCGGUGGGGAUGGCUUGAUGGUUGAACUUAGCGGAGGUCUUAUCCAGUUUUAAUGAUUUUAUGGUUCUGCUCUGUGAUUCUGUGAAUACAGAAUUUGACUUGGAGGUGUGCGCUUGAAUACUUAAGCGUGCUGUUGGUCAGGGUGUGGAGGUUCCACAUGUGCAGAUGCUGCUGGCUCUGUCACUCGCUCGCACACCCAUUUGCCAAAAAAACCACAAAAUGAUACGCAACUCCCGGUAGUGCAAGGACUCCAGGUGCCUUAAUUAGAUUAAUUAGACUCAAAAUGGCCAACAUGACUACCUAGCAACAAAAUUGAAUUGUAUGCAAACAGUGCAUUAACUCCACUAGUCCUCCAAAGCAGCUCCCCAGUUUUUUCCCCAUCCCUACUUUAGCCAUUGGUAGGUAGUAGGGGUCUGACACAGAUCCUGCGUGUGCUUAUGGCAGAGCCUUUUGCCUUCCCAGGGCGGAAGCCUCAAAGAAAGGAUCUGUUCAGGUAUUCCUAUGCUCCUACACCCCUAAUUACGAUCUCAUGACUUAAUCAUGAGCUGCCUUUACCUCAGGUCUGCUUGUAGUGUCUUCCUCUUUUCUGCUUUUGACGCGUGGGCUUUGCCUUUAAUGUGUCGGUUAUUCACUUCUGCGGUGAGUGAUGGGACUGAAAUACCUGACGACAAGCAAAGAAUCUUACAAAUUCCUUUUGAAAUACACCUGAAAAUUGCAAAUUCAGUUCUCAGAUGCGAAAUCCAACUACUUAGCACCUAAGGCAUGCAACCAGGCGUGGGCUUCCUGCACAAACAGGUGAGCGGCACUGGUAUAACACACAGCUUCUCUGUUUGAGUCUUGCUGCGCUCCCAGAUGCAGGCCUACUUUCUUACUGGGGAGUCUCAAGAUAGUCAGUAUUUUCCUUAAGGCUCAAUCUUCCAGCCCUGUGAUUAUGAGAAACUGCUUUCAUUAACUAAAAUUGGCCUGAAAGCGUGAGAGCGAUCAACUGGCAGAUGCUGCUGGCUUGAAAACAGCAAGAUAAAGAUACGUACCCCUAAAUUUUAAGGCCUUUUGGCUUUUCAGGUUGUAAUUUCUUUCUGGGAAACCAUGUUGAUAAUUUUGGUGUGCUACUGACAACUUUUCACAGCUGGCUGUUGUUUCUAAGUUGGUACCUGAAAGAUGCCCCCACUCCCCUUCCAGGUUUUGCUUCUUCAGGAUGUAUUUGGUAGUGAAACACCUGAUCUAUUUGAUUUUGAAAAGAUUUCUUGUUAUAUAUGACUUUUGUGUUUGAGAUACUUUUUUUUUUUCUUUGACUGGAAGCUUGGGAUCCUUAGCCAGCCCUCUGUGAGCACAGCUGAGAUGUGCACACUGUGGAGAGCACGGCUUGCUGACAAAUCCCUCACCAGGCUGUUAUUUGCUUCUGGUCGCAUCACAAAUGCUCACGCUGAGGUCCAUUCUCAUUUGGAUGAUGUGCACGUGCAAAGAAAAUGAGUAUCUUAAUAUCCAUCGUGUCCCCCCACAGAAAAGAUCCUUAUGUCCCCCCACAGAUGUGACUUUUUCGUAGCAAUAAAAGAGAACAUAUCCGAAUAGGGAAGAAAACAUACGUUGGGAACUGGAAACCUUGGGAGCAGCCUAUUUGUAUUGCGCUCGUAGGCAGCACUGCAGAGCUUUGCUGCUUUCCCCUUGUCGGCAGUUUGCUGCACGAAGUUUUUCAGUGGUUCCGCUGCAAAUGGCGAGGUUGCCUGGUUCACAUCUAUGCUCGUGCCAGUGUCGUGAGGAAGAGCUGCUGCUGCCCGGUUGGUGCCAGAACUCUGCCUGCUUGCUGGGUAGGUGCCAGCGUUUAUGAACGACUUCCUCACCUUUGCCAACGUGAUCUUGCCUGGGCUGAGCUGCUCUCGUUGGGUUUCUGUAGCACGACCAGGCUCACUUUGCCCUCCUGUGGCUGACGGGGGAUGUUCAAGACGGCUCUAUCCCUGUACAUCAGUGCCCUCCAGGGCUGGAGUUGGCUCAGACUUUGCCCUCUGCUCAAAACAGCUCUGUGGUGAUUGCAUUCGGUAUUUAGGAUUACUUAUAAGAGUAAGCACAAACAUCUCAUCCUUGAAACGUUGUUUCCUAUUGCCACUUCAUUUUAAACUUGGCUAACUGGAAUAGCUGAGAGAGAAAAUUAGCGUAGGAUCCAUUCACUUGAUGUGAAGUACGCCCAAAUUCUUAUUGAGAGCGCUCCACUGCCAGUUCUUUUCCUAGGCCCUGCUGGCAAAAUAAUUCACAGUAAUGGAUGCUUCCACGGUGAGAGUUGAAGCAUUCAUUCACUUGAUAAAAUACAUGCAACUCUACCACAGAAUAACACUAAUGUUGUUAACCUCUCUCAGAACUGUUAGAUCUUCAGCUCUUUAGACCUCUGUCUAUUCAGCUGCUUGCUACUGAUGGCAAUUCAACUGUUCAUCUGUUUUCAGUUGCUGAUUUGUUUGGAGAAUCUGAUGAAAUACAUGGAGAGGAAACAAGACUGGGACGUCGAUCGCUGGCUCUGCAUGUUCUUGCCUUCUUGGAUGCGGCAGAGUGGUACUGAGGAACUGCUCCUGAUUCCCUCUCCUGCAGUUUCAGGGCAAGUUCUGUGCAUCUGGUGUUGGCAUCUUGUUCAUCAUCAGAAGCCCAGGUAAGAAUAACUGGAGGCGUUGCUUGAAGCAUUGUAAGAUUUUUCUAGUGACUCUUAAUAAUGCUCUGGAUGUUUCUCUUGGCUCAUGUGUCCCGCGUGCAUUACGGUCGUGUCAUCACUGCAGUGCAAACUGCUCUACAACUGCGCAGACCAGGAGCAGGAUGUGAGGUGGGUGACUGGGGCUGUAACGAGGGCCCUGCGAGUUGUCGGUGCUGUUGGCAAUUUUGUUAGUGCCCUUUUUAUCCAAUUUAUUGUGAGUGAGGGGGAAAACACUAGCCUUGAAAGUGCAGGAGAAAGGAGCUGUGCUGGAAGGCCCAUUACGGACCUGGGUGCAUGGCAUCGUGCUGUCGCAGGGAAGCACAAACGACAUGGGAAUUUUAUUUGUGUACUCUUAACUUCUGCUCCUCUUUUGACAUCGGGGAAACAGUUGCGCUCACUAUAUCUCUUCGGUUUGAGUAGCUGUUUGCGUAGCAUUAAGACAAGUGCGUUUUGGAAGCGGAGAGUUUUAGGUUACAGGAUUGUACUUGGUGAAGUUGAUGUUCAACAAAAUUCCCGUUUUGACAUUAAAAUCAGAAGUUGCACAAUCUUUUAGUGCUGCGUAUGCCUGAGCUACCCAUGGUACUCAACGCUAAGUCAUUCCUGCCAGCAGCAGCACUCUGAGGAGUUUAUGCAUUACAUCACCACCGGUAAUGACAAAAGCCAGGAGGAACGUUGAAACCUCGGAGGCUACACCCCCCCAGGCUCUGGUUAGCUCUGCGUUAAUAUCUGUUUUCUUAAUGCACAAGUUGGAAACAAAUAUGGCUUACGGAAGAGGUUUAACUGCUCCAGCCUUCAAUUCUUAAAGAAAAGCAGCUCGUACAGUAUCAAGGCCUCAGAACAGUGGGAAUCUUGACAGUGGUAUAUAGGGCACGUUUCCACUGCGGCUCUGUUUUGCGGGAGAAUUAACGUUGCAGUUGAUUUUUCUCUGCUUCUUUGGAUUGUGAAAACAAUAGACGUGCUGAGUGCUUCCAGACGGCUGCUUAGCACUGUGUGAUCAAUGGAAGCCUCCCGCAUGUUGGUGGAGGAGAUGAGUAACAUCCCUGCGGGAGCUUGGGCAGCCUGCCUCGGGGAGCACCACCCCCAGAGUGCCACGUCUCAUCAUCCGCCGUCCCUCCGUUCUCCCUGCAGCCUGCUUUCGGCGCUUUUCUAUGCGUGUAAGCUAGAACAAAGCUCCCAAAGAUAAAAUAGCUCAGUGGGCAGCCUGCUAGGGAGCAGCUACAAAAUGCCGCUGCACGUCGGGAGCUUCUCCAAUGUCAGAUGGUGUCACAGGAUGGUGGUGGCUGUGGGCGGUGUUCUCGCGUUACAGAUGUGAUAAACCUCUGCCAGAGUUUGACUAGCAGCUCUGGCUGAGAGGGAUGGCUGAUCAGAUCCUCUUGGAGCUCCCACCGAGUUACCUGGUGUGUAGGAAGUUUAUUUUCUUCUCUUGCAAACAUGAAUCAAUUGCUUUAAUAAGCAAUAGUUUAUUAGAGGGAAAUAGUCUUCAGGGAAGAGGAACUGAGUAACGUGAAGUACACUUAAUUUUAAAGGGCUCUAAUUGCCGCACAGUCCCGUCGGAGGCGGCUACUUGUUUCUCUGAACUGUUCAAGUUAAUGACCUCGGGACCUAUUUUGUGUAUGUCUGGAAGUCACCGCAUCCAUAUUGUGUGGCUUCAUUGUCACCGGUUUACAGUAAUAGCCCUGGCGAGGACUGCUUUGUAUCUCCGAAGCAGUGGGAAAUACUGCAGGUGCUGUCUGUGCGUCAUGUAUAGCGUUCCUCACAUUGAUGCCACGGGACAUUCAUUCAUUCCUGGAUAUGCAAACUGCCACGGUUGUGCUUGUGCAAUUGAAGGGAUCUCUUUUACCAUAGAGAAAGAUGUAUGCAUCAGGUGCGUCACUGAAUGACCUGGCACUCGCUCAUUAAUAGUUUCAGUUUUUAAUACCACUUUGACAGCUUGUUGGAAAGCAGAUGUAUACAUCCCCACAAAUACCAAUACAUGAAAAUCCCCCUUUCAGUAAGGGUGGAAAGUUAAUUACUUUUUGUCUCUGCACUAAUACCUUGCAGCAGCAUUGGCUACAAGUAGUGCCACGGAGUUUAUGUAGGAUAGAAAAUGAGCGUUCUCACAGCCUUGUAAUGUCCCGGUUAUUUCUAAGAUGGAUUUAAUGACAUUUGAGGUUUGUAAGUGCACUCGGCUUGUCUCAGCUCCUUCCUCUGUCCGAAUGGCUCUCACGAUUGCUGCCUCACUGAUCUCUGCUUUGAAUUUGCCAGCAUUUCUUAUCUGCCCGCUGUGGUCUGUUUGACACGUGCAGCUUGAUAAGUAGUAAUGCUAAAUAAUAAGAUAAUACUUCUGGCCCGUUAUAAAGGGACUUUCUGUUCUUUGGUAACUUAGAGCUCUGUAACGACCUGGUUUUACCAAGCCUCUUAGUGAUAAUGGAUAUUUUUGCCUUUAUGUUUGUAGCAGGAGGGCUGAGCCCAGGGUCUCCGGAGGCUGGAGACAAAACCUCAGAGCUGGAAGCUGCGUUGCAUCGUGUGGAUCCAGACGCCCACUUCAGCACUGCCCAUCUCUGCCGUGUGGAGAUGGCAGUGCUCGCAUGCAGCCCGUGCCGCUACAUGCAAGGCAAGCAGCAUGCCAGCAGGCUGCCCACGUCUUAACCUGAUUUUGGCGUUUUCUUUUUAACAUAUAUCCCCAAGAGAGUAGUCUUCUCCUUCACCUCUUCUGGGAUUUGGUAGCGUUUGAACUAUACUAGGAGCAAUAUGGUCUGUGUUGCCGUCUGGAUGCCUGCUUAUCGCUGCGAGACAAGUGCCUGGAAGCAAUCCUCUGGGGAAAAACCUGCUCGUUUCCACUCUUUACGCUUUAUUGUGGCAGUAUCUGAGAGCCACAGUUAUGGUUUGGAGUCGCAUUGUGUAGGGAGCAGAUUAUGAGCAAGCCUGGCACGGAAGAGGAUGGUUCCUUGGGGAUGGGCUAAGGUCCAAGACGCAGAAGGCUGAGUGCCGGGAAGGGAAGCUGGCGAGCCAAGCUCUGGCAGAGUUACUGCCUCCAGAGAGAAAUAAUCUUGCCAACGGAAGACAAUUAAGAUGCUGUUUAUUUCAUCAGUGUGUGAUAAUGGAGCAACGAAGUGGUUUCUCAGACCUCAAGUCCUCACUAGAGCUCUCGCAGGGGAAAGGAGCAGCAUGCAGCUGAGCCGGCGUACGAAAUGUCUCAUUUGCCACGUACGAGGGAGCGACCUAACUGUCCCUGUAAGCUACUCUAUUAGGAAAUGCCAGGGAACAACCUAGGAAAUAAAAAGAUUGGAGCAGGAGCAAGUUGCUUCUGACCUCAGAACAGCGUGACAACGGUGACCUGGGAAACGGCAAGUCUGUGCCACGAGAAGGAACAGUAAAAGGCACUAGUGAGGAAGGGAAAGCAAGGUAGCGUGUACUGCUUCUCAGCAGCUGCGUGAGAAUGGAGCAACUCCCGAUGAAGGCCAAACAUGAAAGAGCGGCCCAGCCAACAUGAUCGCUCGUAUCUUAAUAUAGCAGAACUCUUGGGAAAGCAAGGGGAUGAGGACCGGAAACGGGGAGGAAGAAAAGCGGGGUUCGCUUCCAAAAUCCAUUUGGAACGCAGAGAAAUCCUGCUGGCUCUCAAAGGGCCCUUCCUCCCAGCUCCCACCCUUCCUGCAGAUGGCUUCCUUCGUACGCGCCUCCCUCUAUCCACAGCCCACUCUUCCAUUUGUCAUCCGUAUUUUCCUACUCAUUUUCUUCGGCCAUGCACUUCUACCAUUCUUAAUUCCUCCCUCUGUUUUCAACUGAGUGGCAGGUACCUUACUGUUAAGACAUACUGGGAGCUGAUUAAGAAGAUCUAAUGGGUUUAUAGGAUUCUGUAAACUGUUUUACUUAUUGGUGAAAGAAUUUAAAAUAAUUCCAAAAUCUGUAAAAAUUUUGCUUUAUUUGGAACUAGAUGUCUAUAUGGGAACUGCUG
This is a non-coding RNA of Meleagris gallopavo (turkey), 14273 nucleotides long. The record is from RefSeq and is a predicted model, not a curated record. NCBI's taxonomy places the organism in Eukaryota, Metazoa, Chordata, Aves, Galliformes, Phasianidae.